RNAcentral lists this transfer RNA (62 nucleotides) under Ellobium chinense. RNAcentral's name for it is "tRNA-Ser". The record is from RNAcentral. Lineage: Eukaryota; Metazoa; Mollusca; Gastropoda; Ellobiida; Ellobiidae.
UUAAGAGGUUUAGAUUGGGGCUGCUAACUUUGAUCUGGGGCAGGAAUGCUCCGCCUCUUUAA